UUGUUCUUUAAAUGGGGACUUGUAUCAACGGCAUCACGAGGGUUUUACUGUCUCCUUUUUCUAAUCAGCGAAACUAAUCUCCCCGUGAAGAAGCGGGGAUAUUUAUAUAAGACGAGAAGACCCCAUGGAGCUUCAAACCCAAUUACACCCCCCCCCCCCCNAAAA
RNAcentral lists this ribosomal RNA (165 nucleotides) under Mantidactylus majori (Ivohimanita Madagascar frog). RNAcentral describes it as "partial 16S ribosomal RNA". The record is from RNAcentral. Lineage: Eukaryota; Metazoa; Chordata; Amphibia; Anura; Mantellidae.